This 433-nucleotide ribosomal RNA is filed under the name uncultured bacterium. RNAcentral describes it as "partial 16S ribosomal RNA". It matches the Rfam family "Bacterial small subunit ribosomal RNA", at positions 29 to 507 of the family's 1533-position model. The record is from RNAcentral.
AACGAACGCUGGCGGCAUGCCUAACACAUGCAAGUCGAACGAGACCUUCGGGUCUAGUGGCGCACGGGUGCGUAACGCGUGGGAACCUGCCCUUAGGUUCUGAAUAACUCCCCGAAAGGGGUGCUAAUACCGGAUAAUGUCUUCGGACCAAGGAUUUAUCGCCUUUGGAUGGGCCCGCGUUGGAUUAGCUAGUUGGUAGGGUAAAAGCCUACCAAGGCGACGAUCCAUAGCUGGUCUGAGAGGAUGAUCAGCCACACUGGGACUGAGACACGGCCCAGACUCCUACGGGAGGCAGCAGUGGGGAAUAUUGGACAAUGGGCGAAAGCCUGAUCCAGCAAUGCCGCGUGAGUGAUGAAGGCCUUAGGGUUGUAAAGCUCUUUUACCCGGGAUGAUAAUGACAGUACCGGGAGAAUAAGCUCCGGCUAACUCCGUG